Suncus etruscus (white-toothed pygmy shrew) is the source of this 152-nucleotide long non-coding RNA. RefSeq lists it as uncharacterized. The record is from RefSeq and is a predicted model, not a curated record. Lineage: Eukaryota; Metazoa; Chordata; Mammalia; Eulipotyphla; Soricidae. The transcript has 3 exons.
AAGGACAAAAUUCUGUAUUUUACACACUGUCUGAAACAUGGAAACUUAUUACAUCAGAAACAUAUUACAUCUUGAGAAACCACAUCAUUGGAUUCAAGUGUGACAAAGGUUUUUCUUAAGCCUGUUAUUGAAGACUUAAGCAUGGAAUUGGC